GACGAACGCUGGCGGCGUGCUUAACACAUGCAAGUCGAACGGACCUUCGGGUUAGUGGCGAACGGGUGAGUAACACGUGGGUGAUCUGCCCUGCACUUUGGGAUAGGCCUGGGAAACUGGGUCUAAUACCGGAUAGGACUACGCACUGCAUGGUGUGUGGUGGAAAGCUUUUGCGGUGUGGGAUGGGCCCGCGGCCUAUCAGCUUGUUGGUGGGGUGAUGGCCUACCAAGGCGACGACGGGUAGCCGGCCUGAGAGGGUGACCGGCCACACUGGGACUGAGAUACGGCCCAGACUCCUACGGGAGGCAGCAGUGGGGAAUAUUGCACAAUGGGCGCAAGCCUGAUGCAGCGACGCCGCGUGAGGGAUGACGGCCUUCGGGUUGUAAACCUCUUUCGCCAGGGACGAAGCGCAAGUGACGGUACCUGGAGAAGAAGGACCGGCCAACUACGUGCCAGCAGCCGCGGUAAUACGUAGGGUCCGAGCGUUGUCCGGAAUUACUGGGCGUAAAGAGCUCGUAGGUGGUUUGUCGCGUUGUUCGUGAAAACUCACAGCUUAACUGUGGGCGUGCGGGCGAUACGGGCAGACUGGAGUACUGCAGGGGAGACUGGAAUUCCUGGUGUAGCGGUGGAAUGCGCAGAUAUCAGGAGGAACACCGGUGGCGAAGGCGGGUCUCUGGGCAGUAACUGACGCUGAGGAGCGAAAGCGUGGGGAGCGAACAGGAUUAGAUACCCUGGUAGUCCACGCCGUAAACGGUGGGUACUAGGUGUGGGUUUCCUUCCUUGGGAUCCGUGCCGUAGCUAACGCAUUAAGUACCCCGCCUGGGGAGUACGGCCGCAAGGCUAAAACUCAAAGGAAUUGACGGGGGCCCGCACAAGCGGCGGAGCAUGUGGAUUAAUUCGAUGCAACGCGAAGAACCUUACCUGGGUUUGACAUGCACAGGACGUGCCUAGAGAUAGGUAUUCCCUUGUGGCCUGUGUACAGGUGGUGCAUGGCUGUCGUCAGCUCGUGUCGUGAGAUGUUGGGUUAAGUCCCGCAACGAGCGCAACCCUUGUCUCAUGUUGCCAGCACGUUAUGGUGGGGGCUCGUGAGAGACUGCCGGGGUCAACUCGGAGGAAGGUGGGGAUGACGUCAAGUCAUCAUGCCCCUUAUGUCCAGGGCUUCACACAUGCUACAAUGGCCGGUACAAAGGGCUGCGAUGCCGUGAGGUGGAGCGAAUCCUUUCAAAGCCGGUCGCAGUUCGGAUCGGGGUCUGCAACUCGACCCCGUGAAGUCGGAGUCGCUAGUAAUCGCAGAUCAGCAACGCUGCGGUGAAUACGUUCCCGGGCCU
RNAcentral lists this ribosomal RNA (1328 nucleotides) under uncultured bacterium. RNAcentral's name for it is "bacterial SSU rRNA". It matches the Rfam family "Bacterial small subunit ribosomal RNA", at positions 28 to 1381 of the family's 1533-position model. The record is from RNAcentral.